UGAAUUCAAAUAAUAAUUAAAAUAAGAAAAAAUAGGGUUUGCUGCUAUCUCCAAACUACAUAACCUGGCUUGAAUAUUUAGCAAAAUAUAAUAGAGAAACACCAGUUUCAGGCUUACAAUGAUUUUUAAGUCCUAGUUACCGCUGCAAUCACAUGUAAAAUGACUAAACUUGCGGCCCUGUGAACACAAGAUCUUCAAUUAGCUCUCCAUCCUUUAGCCUUCAUCUGGAUAAGGGAGUAUAUAAACCCUUCUCAGAAGAAAUCAUGUGCUUGAGUCCUUCACUAGCUAGCUAAUGAGCGAAACCCCCGCUGACCAGGCCAUGCGAUUCUCCAUUGCCCAUGUAGAAGAGGACGUCACAGUUGACCGGAUCUAACUAAAAGGGGAGGAAAAACCAAAGUGCAUCCGGAUCUUGGAAAACAUUUGCUAGGUACUCUCUUUUCUUUUUACAGAAAAUACACACACACACACACACACACACAAAUAUAUGCUUUCUGUUCUUUCGAUCCCCUUCAUGUAUAUAAGCACUUACCAUGAUCCAUUGAUCCAAGAAAAUAGGUUUAGUUCAUAACAAAAUCUUAGAAUACAAUAAAAUUAGACAACAAAAUCCAAAAAAAUGGGUAAAACAACACUACUUCACCUGAUCUUUCUCCGAGCUUGCAAAAAAUUAAAGAUGGGUUUUCUUUUCCGUAGAAUCAAAGCAUUAGAGGCUUCUGUCGAGGAGAGAUGAAGCUCGCUGCCCCGAAUUACAUGGCAUCGGCACCAUCUCACCCACGACAGAAGUCCCGACGCUUUGAUAUUUCGAUCUCGCUUUUAGUACGGUUUUUUGGAUCCACUGGCUAGAUCUCUUCUCCGGAAUCCUCAUGCUGCAGCUUUUUAUAUAGGCAUGAAAGAGCCAGUAUGGUAUUUCUUCAUUUUCAUUUUUUAUUUUAACAAAGUGCAACUGGUACUAUAAAUAACUAUUAUUCGUACAUUAUAAACUCCAAAUUUCUCUCUCACAAACAAUGAUUAAGGCCUCAUGGUCAUGGAUAAAGGACACAAAAUAUAAUAUACAAUACAUAUUUAGUACAGCUUUGGAUAUAAAUAUAUAUUAUAAAAUGUAACAAAUAUAUAAACUUAUAUUUAGGCAGGGGUUGUCCUUGGGUGAAUAAAUUUAUUUUUUCAUAAAAAUAUAUAUAUAAACUAAGUCAUCAUAUGAUCUCAGCAGCAGACCUAGCCCUAAGCUCAUACAUGUGAGUUGAUGAAUUAUUCAUGAAAUUUGUCAACGCAAAACAGUUGUGAGAUGAAAUCGAUCUGCAAAACUAGUAUUAUUAGUUGAUUAGUAAUCUCUUAACGUAGUCUGAAUGAUAAAUUAGUACUGCAAUAUAUAUGAGAUCACCAAGAAUUCCAUCAUCUAAUCAUACCAACUUAUUAUAUUUACAGCUCCAAAUAGAAGGAAUCUUUUAUUAUUAAUCCACGUUUUAGUGCGGUUAGAUCAAUCGUCAGAUUAUGAUAAUCAUGAUAGGCCUGUUUUAAUUAACAAUGUAUAUAUGGCUUCUGCAGUAGAUACCUAGCUAAAACAAUCAUAUCUUGACAAAGUCAAGCUUAAGUAAUUGAGAGUAUAUUAAUCAAAAAAUUAAUCUACAAACAUAAGAUAAAAAUCAUGUUGAAAAAAAAAAGCUAAAAUGUCGUCACGUUAAUAUUUGCUUGAUCUAUUUAAGUUAUGGAGUGUGGUUCUGGAAAUCAAUGGAGUUUACAGACCCUAAUAUUAAGGCCUUACCCAAAAUAAGAAGUCGCAAAAUGUGAAGACCAAAAAGAACCCAAUUAACAUAUCCUUAUAUACAGAGACUACAGCCUUCAGAAGUUGUAGGAUAUCUGAUCGUCACCAACUUAAAGGCCAGCAGCAAGGCGUCAGUGCCAUUCUUCCUGACAAGGGUCCUCAACUACUAUACAUAAUUUCUCUUUGAAGUUUAAACCUUGCCUUCCAAUCCUCGUACUCUCUCGUUUUUACAUUUAGGAUGGUGCUAUCCAUUUUAUAUUACUUUUUUACUUUUUAUCCAUCCCUUUCAAUUUUUAACAAUCAGUUCAAAUUAAUCGAAAAAAAUCAAAUAAUAGAAAUUAACAAAUAGUGAGUAAGAGAUAAAAAUAAUUAUGUGAAUGAAAUAGCAAGUAGGAGAAAUUGAUUGGGCAUCGAUUUAUACAUUAACAAGUCGUUGAGUAGAAAGUUGUGUGGUGCAAUUCCUGUAAACAAAGUAGGAAAGCAAACCCUACAUAUCUUUCGGCUAUCCCCGUCCAUUCCACCAUAUAUUUUUAUUUAUUUACUGAGAAAGUAAAUUAUUAGCAGAAUUACACAGAUAAUGAUAGCUUCUAGAUGGAGAGAUCGAUCAGCUCCAGAAGGCACAUCCACCCUAUAUUUAUAGUUAGGUUAGUGGAAUAUGUUAGCUUCCCUGCAAACACAUGCAUUUGGAGGAGUCGUUCCUUUCACACGUGAAAUUUCCAGAUUAUAAAAUUUGCCUCGGAGAAACGAGACAAGCUUUCAACUUGCUUCAUCAUUUUUAAUCACAUGGACUGCGACAUGACCUUUUUUUUUUUGACAAUUUGACUGAUGACAAAAAGAACGAAGAAAGGAGGACAAGUUUAUUGGAACGUGGACAACGAGGAUGAAAAAUUAAAGUAGCAACCUUAUGGCACAUAAAGUAGUUUUAUAAUUACUAGAACUAAAAAUUGGUCACAAAAGAGAUCAAACUUAACGGGAAAAGUGCAAAUGGCUUGUUAGCAAGUUAAUUGAGUUUGUUCGACAAAUAAAAAAAAAUUUAAAAAAAAAAAAAAAAACGUUAAUUGAGUUUGUUGCAUUCACAUUAAUUAGCAAGACAAAAGUAUUUGGAGAACUAACAAAGAUAAGGAAAAAAAUCAUGAAAUUUAAUAAGAUCAUGACUAUGAAUAAGCAAGUAAUAUAUAUAUAUAUAUAUAUAUAUGGAUGCAAAUAUUGAAGAUGGAGCCAACUUACCAAUAUACCAUUUUUUUUUCUCUUUGGAUUCUUGUUAGAUGACCAUUUAGAGAAAGAUCAAAAGUGCAGAAGUUGUGUAGAGAUUUUUGGUCACAGGAGAGAUGGCAACAACUAUUGGCGCAAUUGCGGUACAGUUAGUGCCAUCUCUCCUGCGAACAUAAAUCCCCCAACCUUUCUUAAUUCCGUCACUUCUCUAGAGGAGGAUGGAACAUGCUGUUAGCUAGAGCACAACUUGUACCAUCUCUCCUGCGACAAGAGUCCCUCAACCUCUUUUAUCUCUUCUUUGUUUCUCUAUACAAUGUGUUAAUGCUCUACGACCUUAGAUAGCCCCCAUAUUUAUAGCCAUCAAGCUAGGCCGAUGUUUCUCUAUGUACUCGGAGAAUGUUAGGUUUAUCAACAAUGUAAGGAAAUUACCUGUACAUUUCCAUGAAGUUUACUUUUAA
Long non-coding RNA from Pyrus x bretschneideri (Chinese white pear), 3426 nucleotides. RefSeq lists it as uncharacterized. The transcript is spliced from 2 exons. The record is from RefSeq and is a predicted model, not a curated record. Lineage: Eukaryota; Viridiplantae; Streptophyta; Magnoliopsida; Rosales; Rosaceae.